Molecule: ribosomal RNA, 230 nt
Filed under: uncultured bacterium
Lineage: Bacteria
Description: partial 16S ribosomal RNA
Rfam family: Bacterial small subunit ribosomal RNA
Source: RNAcentral
UAGGAAUAUGCCUUAAAGAGGGGGACAACUUGGGGAAACUCAAGCUAAUACCGCAUAAUUUCCUUGGAAAAAAGCUAGGGACCUUCGGGCCUGGCGCUUUAAGAAUAGCCUGCGUACGAUUAGCUAGUUGGUAGGGUAAAGGCCUACCAAGGCGACGAUCGUUAGCUGGUCUGAGAGGAUGACCAGCCACACUGGAACUGAGACACGGUCCAGACUCCUACGGGAGGCAG